AACGAACGCUGGCGGCGUGCCUAACACAUGCAAGUCGAACGCGAAAGGCAGUAAUGCCGAGUAGAGUGGCGCACGGGUGAGUAACACGUAAAUGACCUGCCAUAGACACUGGGAUAACCACUCGAAAGGGUGGCUAAUACUGGAUAAGCCCCCGGGUUAGGACCUGAGGGAAAAGAUUGGGACCUUACGAGGCCAAUCGGUCUUUGAGGGUUUGCGGCCCAUCAGCUGGUUGGUGAGGUAAUGGCUCACCAAGGCAAAGACGGGUAGCUGGUCUGAGAGGAUGAUCAGCCACACUGGAACUGAGACACGGUCCAGACUCCUACGGGAGGCAGCAGUGGGAAUCUUGCGCAAUGGACGAAAGUCUGACGCAGCAACGCCGCGUGAGUGAUGAAGGUCUUCGGAUCGUAAAGCUCUGUCGGAGGGGAAGAUGCUAGUAAGUGCUAAUAGUACUUAUUGGUGACGGUACCCUCAAAGGAAGCACCGGCUAACUCUGUGCCAGCAC
RNAcentral lists this ribosomal RNA (502 nucleotides) under uncultured bacterium. Its description in RNAcentral is "bacterial SSU rRNA". It matches the Rfam family "Bacterial small subunit ribosomal RNA", at positions 29 to 514 of the family's 1533-position model. The record is from RNAcentral.